UGGCUCUGUAAUCUACUUCAUAACUCCAUGGUUGGAUGAGGGCGGGAAAGAGCACUUAGAGGCUGCCAUUUUGUGCCAGGCACCGUACUUGGUUCUCUACAAAUGUUACUUCAUUUCUUCUACACACAGUCCUGUGGAGGGAGAUAUUUUCCCUCCCUCCCUCCCUCCCUCCCUCCCUUCCUUCUUUCCUUCUUUCCUUCUUCCUUUUUUGCUCUUUCUUUCUUUUCUUCCUUUCUCUCUCCCUCCCUCCCUUCCUUCGUUCUUUUUUUUUUCCAGGGUCUAGCUCUGUCACUCAGGCUGGAGUGCAGUGGUAGAAUCUCGGCUCACGGCAGCCUCAACCUCCCAGGCUCAGGGAGGUAUUUUCUCUUUCUUUGUUUGUUUCUCUUUCUUUUUUGUCUUUCUUUUAUUUUUAUUUUUCUCUCUUUGCUUUUUUUUUUUUUUUUUUUAAACAGGGUCUAACUCUGUCAUCCAACCUCCCAGGCUCAAGCUAUCCUCCCACUUCAGCCUCCCAAGUAGCUGGGACUACAGGCGUCACCAUGCCCGGUUAAUUUUUAGAUUUUUAAAUUAUGUUGCCCAGGCUGGUCUUAGUCUUGAAUUCCUGAGCUCAAGCGAUCCUCCUGCCUCAGCCUCCCAAAGUGCUGGGAUUACAGGCAGGAGCCAUCGUGCCCGGCCUUGAGGGAGAUAUUUUCAUCCCUAUUUUCCAGGCUCAGAGAAGUAAAGUGACCUGGCCAAAAAUCACACAAUUGGUUAGUGAUGACCCCAAGAUUUCAACCCUUUUCUGUGAAUUCCAAAACGGAUUCUUUGCACGAAUUUUCCUGAUUGUGUAAGAUUCGAAGCCCUCGCCCUGGGCGCCAGGGUUCCUGGAGGGCGGAGUCCGGCAGGGCGAGGGUAGUCUGGUGGGCGGGAAGGGACUGGCCGCAUAAAGCAAACAGCGCAGCCCACUUUGGCCUCCAGCCGCCCCGGUCCUGGCUCUUGGCCCCGCUGGGAUCUGGGGUGUCUGGCCAUGCGUGAGCACGAGGUGGCGCUGCGGGCCGGGAGCCUCCGCACGGGCAGGGAGGGGCCGCGCGGACUCCCGGGUCGGCGAGGCCCGCCGGGGCUUCCGCUCUCCUUAUGGCUGGCAGGAGGCCAGGGCUGCGGGGUGCAGGGCAGGUUCCCCACGGGAAGGACGAGCCCGCCCAGCGUGAUGGCAUCCGCGCCCAUGCUCUCACUGGGCCUUCACCCUGCCCCGUUUUGCAGAGGAGGAAGCUGCAGCUCGGGCGGAGGUGACCUGCUCCAGAACUGAUUGCCGCAGAAGCCCCCUCCUUCCCUUCGCUGCCCUCCGCACGCUUUGGCCCUGUCUUUAAGGCCUUUUUGUUCCAUGGCCCUCCCGCAAGGACUCCUUCCACAAGCGGGGACUUGGGAAGACCCGGACCCAUUGGGUGAAAGUACCGUGAUCCCUACCUCCAUCUGAAUCCUCUCCUGUCCCAGGAAAUGUAGGGGAAGUGGAGAACAAACAGGAGGACUGUGGGGGCCCGGGGUCUCACCCUGACCUCCCUCUCCUCCACACCGCCCGGCGCCAAGCCUCAGCUCUUUCCUACCUUGACCGCUGGGUGCCAGCCUCGGACCCAGGGCCUCAAGCUGAUACUUCUCCCUGGGGAGGCCUGAUUACAAGAUGGGCAAGCUCCCACCAGUGCAUAUGGCCUGAAUGUUCUGGGCACAGAGUAGGGAUCAGGAAAAACCUGUCAUUGGUGAUGAUGGUAGACAUUCCCUGUAGACUGGCCAGUUAGAAGGAAGAACUUGGUGACAGCAGAGCCACCCAGAUGAGCUCCAAGUGUGAUCUCUGUCAGUGGAAGUGUGCAAACAGGAGCUGGGGUACCAUAGCAGCUGAAGCACCAAGGAAGAACAAAAUACUGUUGCAGUUCAGAGGAGGGAGGUGGAAGGGGCCAAGGAAGCUUCUGCGGGCGGGCAAGAACUAGGUCUACUGGAUAGGAAGGAGGUUGAGAGACAGGGGUGAGGGCAAGGGCAAGGUCCCACAGUAACGCCUGAGCAAGAGAACAGGUGUGCAAGGGCCUGCAUGCUCAUGGCUAUGGCUGGAGCUGGGGUGGCAGGAACAGUGGGGUAGGGCCACGGGAGAUGAGAGGUGAACAGGGUGCAGGAACUCCCUCCUUCACGUCACCUUACUCCCCAAAUCCUGAGAUUAUCAGGCUUUUCAGGGAGAACAAGCUGCCCAGGGCAGGGCCUAACCUGAUUCAUCUUUGUGGCCCCAGAGCCCAGCCCAGGGAUUGCCAGUGGACACUGGCUGAGUAAAGCAAAGAACUUUUUAUAGUGUUUAUUAAAUCAAGGACCGGUUAGAUAGAUGAUGGGCUAGGCAGGUGGGGGAAGACAGAGCUCACUGCCCCUUGGAGAUCCCAGCCAGAUGAGGCUCCAGAACUGCA
This 2414-nucleotide long non-coding RNA is filed under the name Homo sapiens (human). Its description in RNAcentral is "HSALNT0178547". The record is from RNAcentral. Lineage: Eukaryota; Metazoa; Chordata; Mammalia; Primates; Hominidae.